Non-coding RNA from Rattus norvegicus (Norway rat), 1853 nucleotides. The record is from RefSeq and is a predicted model, not a curated record. Lineage: Eukaryota; Metazoa; Chordata; Mammalia; Rodentia; Muridae.
AGAAACUUCCUUUCUCUACCAUAGUACAUGGCCUGAGCAACCACGGACUGAAAACACUCCCUGGUUUAUUUCUUCAAUUCAUGCUCCCAGAGAUUUUGGUCACAGAGACAGACACUGGACAACUACAGUGGACUUCUUCAAGGGCAAUAGUGGAGUUUGAACCUGAAUGGGAGUGGUGAGGAAUUUGACAGCCACUGCCUCAAGGGAAGGUAUUCUAGGCCAAGGACUCAGCCACUGAGAACAUCAGACAGGCCUGCGUGUGGCAUUUGUGAGGAGCGCAAGGAAGACAGUGGCUGGAGCAGAGUGAGGCAGGGACAUGUCCAGAAGACCAGGUCACCUGGAAUCCCCUCUACCACCAGGGGGCUUUGCAAAAGAGCUGUAGGAGUGAGCCGAGCUGGCUUAACUGCUGCCAGGGUGAAGAUGGAUUGUGGGAGGACAAGACUGUGAAGGAAGCUUCUGGACUCAUUUGACUGGUUGGGCUCAGAACAUGGAAGGGGGUAGGUGGGUUUUCGUGUAUUGAUACCACAGUCUCCCAGCUAGACAAGGCGAGGAAGGAGUCGGGAGUGACUGGUGAUCUUGGCUGUGUUGGGAAUUGGUUCCAAUGCUUUGACUUAUUUUGGCUCCCAAAAGCCGUGCUUCCAGCCAGACCUGAGAGUUCCUGUCCCCAGCUGGCUUCGACUGAUAAUGAAGAACUGCCAUAUACUCAGGCAAGGGAGAGAGAGAGAAGAUCACCAUGAGGGGAAGCAGAAAAAUGAAACUUAAAGGCCCACCAGCAUGUGAGAAUCUGGGAAAGUGUUCCAUAUGGGCCCCUUCCCUGACUGGGUCUAGGGUAGCAGAGAUGAAAUACAGAUUUUAAAAGAUGUGUUUGCUAGCUGCAGGGAGGUUUAGAAGAGCUCAGCCAUUGUCAAGGCAUAUCAAAAUUUGUGUGUGUGAGUGUGUGUGCGCGCGCGCGCCUUUCAUUCACACAUCCAGAGAGCUCUUGGGCUGGUGCAGCACAAGCACGACCUGCCGGGAGCCAAAGCAGUUUAAUUCAUCGCUACAGGACUGAGCGCUAGAAGUCUGCCAUCACAUUAGCUAUCUCGGAGGCCACUAUGGAAGCAGACUUGGGGAGACAGUGAGGCAAGGGGUUCAACUUAGGGCAUUUUGUGAAAACGUCUCAACUUCCAAAUGGAGGCGUCGGACAGACAGCUGGAAAAUGGGAGGACAAGACAAACCCCACACUGAGACAUUCGUGACACAAGGGAGAGAAGAAAUAGCCACUAACGAGACAGACACAGCAACCUGAACUCGGCUUUGUCAGCUACACCAAACCAUGCCAGAAACUUCUGAUGGGUCUCACUAGGAACCCUACUUUGGCCCUAAGUUUGUAAUCCUCCUGCCUCAGCCUCCUGAGUGCUGAAUCCACUGAAUGGCAGGGAAGAAGCUGCAGCAUAGAAACUAUCUGGUUUCCACCUCCCUGCAGAACCAGAGCCACAGCAGCAAGCCCCAGCUCACCUCAGGCUCUGACAAAGAGAUGCUGAUGAUGGGGCACUAGGCUAUGGGAACCACUGACCAGUGCAACUAGAAACCUUGGCCCUCAACCCGCUCCCUGGAGCACCAGCAGUAAUAGUCGGUCCUACCAGCUCUGCAUCAUGUUCCAGGCCUGUGUCGUGGUGCUCAAGCUCCUCAUCUCGAAACUGCUUAAUGACCUGGGAAGACAAGGAAUCACAAGCCCAGUGCCUCCCAUUGGAGCACACAGCCAAAAGUGAUUCCUGAGGGCUUCAGCAGAGCAAUGGGAAGAACCCACCUGAAUGACAGGGCCAACACUGGUCCGUCCAAGCACAGCCAUCUGCCCUGCAUAGAUGCGGUUUGCU